ACGACUCUCGGCAACGGAUAUCUCGGCUCCUGCAUCGAUGAAGAACGUAGCGAAAUGCGAUACCUGGUGUGAAUUGCAGAAUCCCGCGAACCAUCGAGUCUUUGAACGCAAGUUGCGCCCGAGGCCACUCGGCCGAGGGCACGCCUGCCUGGGCGUCACGC
This 161-nucleotide ribosomal RNA is filed under the name Hordeum jubatum. RNAcentral's name for it is "5.8S ribosomal RNA". It matches the Rfam family "5.8S ribosomal RNA". Rfam says of the family: 5.8S ribosomal RNA (5.8S rRNA) is a component of the large subunit of the eukaryotic ribosome. The record is from RNAcentral. Lineage: Eukaryota; Viridiplantae; Streptophyta; Magnoliopsida; Poales; Poaceae.